This 344-nucleotide ribosomal RNA is filed under the name uncultured bacterium. RNAcentral describes it as "partial 16S ribosomal RNA". It matches the Rfam family "Bacterial small subunit ribosomal RNA", at positions 338 to 699 of the family's 1533-position model. The record is from RNAcentral.
CCUACGGGAGACUGCAGUGGGGAAUAUUGCACAAUGGGGGAAACCCUGAUGCAGCGACGCCGCGUGAGUGAAGAAGUAAUUCUUGAUGUAAAGCUCUAUCAGCAGGGAAGAAAAUGACGGUACCUGAGUAAGAAGCCCCGGCUAACUACGUGCAAGCAGCCGCGGCACUACGUAGGGGGCAAGCGUUAUCCGGAUUUACUGGGUGUAAAGGGAGCGUAGACGGCAGGGCAAGUCUGGAGUGAAAGGCGGGGGCUCAACCCCGGGACUGCUCUGGAAACUGUACGGCUGGAGUGCAGGAGAGGUAAGUGGAAUUCCUAGUGUAGCGGUGAAAUGCGUAGAUAUUA